This 216-nucleotide ribosomal RNA is filed under the name uncultured bacterium. RNAcentral's name for it is "partial 16S ribosomal RNA". It matches the Rfam family "Bacterial small subunit ribosomal RNA", at positions 29 to 225 of the family's 1533-position model. The record is from RNAcentral.
AACGAACGCUGGCGGCGUGCCUAACACAUGCAAGUCGUACGGGAAAGUGGGCUUCGGCCCGCGAGUAGAGUGGCAGACGGGUGAGUAACACGUGGGUAACCUACCCGGAGGUGGGGGAUAACCUUCCGAAGGAGGGCUAAUACCGCAUGACAUCUCAGGGGCCUCGGCCCCGGACGAGCAAAGACUAGCCUCUACAUGCAAGCUAGCGCCACCGGA